RNAcentral lists this small RNA (87 nucleotides) under Arabidopsis thaliana (thale cress). RNAcentral describes it as "ATSL205640". The record is from RNAcentral. Lineage: Eukaryota; Viridiplantae; Streptophyta; Magnoliopsida; Brassicales; Brassicaceae.
AUUUAUACAAUUAUUAAUUUAUAAUAUUGAUGGGACCAUAUAUUUACAUAAGAUUUUCAAAAAAAGUUACUAUCUUAUUAAUUUAUC